AGGUUACGAUCCUCUCUUCGCGCNAUCACCGUUUUUACUGCGGAAGCCUUANCNGCCACUUUUUAGGCUGACUGAGUCGACGAUAAACAAAACCAGUCUUAACCGCUAGGUUCUACCGGCUUCAAUGCUGUUAGAGCAACACUACCAGAAUGCGGGAAACCUCUUGAUUUGAUUUGAAAGCAAGUAAGCACCAAGUAGGGGAGUUAUGCCCGUUCUCUUGGAGGUGGGAGAAUCCCUAUGGCCAGAGAGACUAGACUCUGGGUGCGGUAAAAGCCUUAACUUGUUAAUAGAGCGAUCCGCAGUUUUGAACGUAUCCCUCCUACAAGCAGGAUCGUUCCAAAUCCACAGACCAGACGGUAGUGGGUGGAAUUAUAAUAGCCAUAGUUCCAUCUAAGAUAUGGCCGANACCCCUANAUAGUUCCGGGGUGAACAGACUANUGUUUUAAGACUUGGAUUGUAUAUAUACAUAUAUAUACCAAGUAACUGAAAAUUGCUAGUUUGUUACGAGUGUUNCNGUAGGUGAACCUGCGGAAGGAUCAUUA
This 542-nucleotide ribosomal RNA is filed under the name Dendrographa decolorans. RNAcentral's name for it is "partial small subunit ribosomal RNA". The record is from RNAcentral. Lineage: Eukaryota; Fungi; Ascomycota; Arthoniomycetes; Arthoniales; Roccellaceae.